Molecule: ribosomal RNA, 403 nt
Filed under: uncultured bacterium
Lineage: Bacteria
Description: bacterial SSU rRNA
Rfam family: Bacterial small subunit ribosomal RNA
Source: RNAcentral
GCAACCUACCUAUCAGUGGGGAAUAGCCCGGGGAAACCCGGAUUAAUACCGCAGUAAGAUCAAAGAGUGGCAUCACUUUUUGCUGAAACAUUUAUGGCUGACAGAUGGGCAUGCGUUAGAUUAGCUAGUUGGUAGUGUAAGGGACUACCAAGGCAAUGAUCUAUAGGGGUUCUGAGAGGAAGAUCCCCCACACUGGUACUGAGAUACGGACCAGACUCCUACGGGAGGCAGCAGUAGGGAAUAUUGGGCAAUGCCCGCAAGGGUGACCCAGCCAUGCCGCGUGCAGGAAGAAGGCCUUCUGGGUUGUAAACUGCUUUUGGAAGGGAACAAAACGGUCUGCGGAGCAACUUGAGUGUACCUUCAGAAUAAAGCACCGGGCUAACUCCGUGCCCAGCCGCCGCGG